UGUGAAAAAUAAAAUUCCCAGAAUAAAGCUCAUUUGGGAUUUAUUUUCAGAAUUAAUGAAGAAAAUGACAAAUUAAAGCAGUGUCAUGAAAAAGAUAAAGUAGAUUUUGUUAUUUGGUACAUUUGAUAAAUAUGUGUGUUUAUUUUUCUUUUGAGACCUAAAUGAUAAUUUUAUUGUAAAAUAAGCAUAUGAUGCAAAAAGGACGAAUUAAUGCUUAUCUUUCUAAAUUAGUGAAUACAAUUUUAGAUUGGGGGGUAAAAUGUCACAGUGGAAGUGAGAUUGUAUUCACUUAUUUUGUUUCUAUGGAUACAGGAGGAAAGUAGAAGUGCCAUCGUGUGGUGUUGUAUAGGGGUGUGUGUGAAGAUGAGUAAUAGGAGAUAAAGAAGAGAUUAAAUUUCGAGUGUGAAAGGGUCUUCACAUUAUGACAUGUGUGCACUAGGUGUGACCAAGGUUAAUCUUUAUAGUGUGAAAGUGUUUGUCUACAAUAUUGGAGCUAGUUUGAAUACAUACCUCAUUUCUUUCAGCCGAGGAAAGGCUUUUCAAAGUAAAUUCUUAGUUUUAUUCAGCCCAGGAUGGGCAUUGUUUGAAGGAAAUAUCCAGGUGGUUAAAUACAAAUUAAAUUUAAUCAUGCUCCUUGCACUGGGCAAGUAGUAAGGAUUUUUGAGACAGACACACCUAGCCUAUAGAGGAGACAGGUACCUUUUCCAAGGGCCUCUUUGACUUUUUUUCGACAUGAGUUUCUCUACAUGAGUUAUUAAUUUCAAGAGUUUAUUUUCAAGUGAUUUCAAGGCAAAAGGAAAGACCUGCAAUUAUUGUAAUGACAGGCAAAUUCUUCAUUACGAUGAAUUUUCUCAAGCAUUUAUAAAGAGCACCAACGAUGGCACGUAGUCUGGGGCAGGAGACACACCCCAUCCAACUCUGAUCCAACUACCAGUAAACUCAGCACUCAGGAGUCAUGUACGAUCAUCACGACACAGCUUCGUCUUAACUACAUAAAGGAUUCUCAACGUCAAAUCUUCAAGCGGUGACGUAUGACAUUUGAUCAAUUGAGAGAGUGACACAACUAUGAAACAUUUGGAACGAUUUUGAGCGGUGUCAUUUUGAGAGACUAUAAAUCCAUCUUAGUUUGUGAGAGUUAUAAUGCGGUUCGUUUUUCAAGUUUAAAAAGGUUCAUUUCAUAAAUCAGUUUAUUGUUAUAUAUUUUUUUUAGGUUUGUACUCUGGUAUAUUAUAAAGUAAUAGAAGAAUAGUAAAACAAACUUUGGAUUGAUGUUUGUUUGUAACCUGGUGUAUUGAGAAGAAAAGGAUAGCAAGACAAGACUUAUGAAUAAUUAAAUACAUCAGUAUUGGUGAUAGAACAUA
Long non-coding RNA from Lytechinus variegatus (green sea urchin), 1361 nucleotides. RefSeq lists it as uncharacterized. The transcript is spliced from 2 exons. NCBI's taxonomy places the organism in Eukaryota, Metazoa, Echinodermata, Echinoidea, Temnopleuroida, Toxopneustidae. The record is from RefSeq and is a predicted model, not a curated record.